GUGAACGCUGGCGGCAUGCCUAACACAUGCAAGUCGAACGAGACCUUCGGGUCUAGUGGCGCACGGGUGCGUAACGCGUGGGAAUCUGCCCUUAGGUACGGGAUAACCCAGGGAAACUUGGGCUAAUACCGUAUGAUGACGUAAGUCCAAAGAUUUAUCGCCUAAGGAUGAGCCCGCGUAGGAUUAGCUUGUUGGUGAGGUAAAGGCUCACCAAGGCGACGAUCCUUAGCUGGUCUGAGAGGAUGAUCAGCCACACUGGGACUGAGACACGGCCCAGACUCCUACGGGAGGCAGCAGUGGGGAAUAUUGGACAAUGGGCGAAAGCCUGAUCCAGCAAUGCCGCGUGAGUGAUGAAGGCCCUAGGGUUGUAAAGCUCUUUUACCCGGGAAGAUAAUGACUGUACCGGGAGAAUAAGCCCCGGCUAACUCCGU
Molecule: ribosomal RNA, 431 nt
Filed under: uncultured bacterium
Lineage: Bacteria
Description: bacterial SSU rRNA
Rfam family: Bacterial small subunit ribosomal RNA
Source: RNAcentral